AGUUCCGGUCGCAGAGGAGACACUGCCGCAGUUGCCGCUACAUCGGGGGUUUCUGGCUCUUUCCUCUUCGCCUUAAAUUCGGGUGUCUUUUAUGAAUAAUCAAAAGCAGCAAAAGCCAACGCUAUCAGGCCAGCGUUUUAAAACUAGAAAAAGAGAUGAAAAAGAGAGGUUUGACCCUACUCAGUUUCAAGACUGUAUUAUUCAAGGCUUAACUGAAACCGGUACUGAUUUGGAAGCAGUAGCUAAGUUUCUUGAUGCUUCUGGAGCAAAACUUGAUUACCGUCGAUAUGCAGAAACACUCUUUGACAUUCUGGUGGCUGGUGGAAUGCUGGGUAAGUGUCUGCGGUUUGUGGGCUUAAUAAUUUAGAAAGGUAUAAUAUAUGGAGAUUAUGGAGAGUCUAGAAUAUGAACUAUUUGGCAAACUUGUUAAAAUGGAGUGAUUUUUUUGGUUGUGUUGUAUUUUGGUUUUAUCCAACUUUAGCCCCAGGUGGUACACUGGCAGAUGACAUGAUGCGUACAGAUGUCUGCGU
Molecule: small RNA, 530 nt
Filed under: Pongo abelii (Sumatran orangutan)
Lineage: Eukaryota; Metazoa; Chordata; Mammalia; Primates; Hominidae
Description: retained intron
Source: RNAcentral